Oryza sativa Japonica Group (Japanese rice) is the source of this 2025-nucleotide non-coding RNA. The record is from RefSeq and is a predicted model, not a curated record. NCBI's taxonomy places the organism in Eukaryota, Viridiplantae, Streptophyta, Magnoliopsida, Poales, Poaceae.
UCUCUCCACCUCUCCCUCUCUCUCCUCUCUUCGAGGAGUCUCCCUCUCCUCUCCUCUCCUUCUAGAGAGAGAGAGAGAGGCGCAGCCGCCGCCGCCGCUCGCAAAGCGCCACGUCCCCCGAUCGAGCCGGCUAGGGUUCCGCCACCGCCGCCGCAGCCAUGGUGGGCUGUUCCAGAGGGGGCGGGGGCCUCCCCGCCUGGAUGACCGCCGCCGCCGCCCGCGUCGAUCUCUCCAGCGCCGGCGGAGGCGGCGGCAUACCCGGCUCGGGGGCCUCCUCCUCCUCCUCCUCCUCCUCACAGCCCGGAUACUCGGGGCCGCAUCAGCAGGCUGGGGUUGCGGGGGCGGCCGCCGACCAGGAGCUCGGGAUGGCCGAGCGCGCGCUCUCCGCCGCCGGCGCCGCGUUCGUCUCCGCCAUCAUCGUCAACCCUCUCGACGUCGCCAAGACGAGAUUGCAGGCGCAGGCGGCGGGGGUGCCCUACUACCAGCCGUCGCAGAUGGCGUCGCUCGGCCCGGACGCGAUAUUAUCUGAUUUCAGAUGUUCGCCGUCAUGCACACGUGGUGUCAUUUUGGGAAGUGAGCCUAUUUGCCCACCUGACUGCUUUCAGUACAAGGGAACACUUGAUGUAUUCUUGAAAGUUGUUAGACAGGAAGGAUUUGGUAGAUUAUGGAGAGGUACAAAUGCAGGCUUGGCGUUAGCAGUACCAACUGUUGGAAUAUAUUUGCCUUGCUAUGACCUAUUUCGCAACUGGAUUGAAGAUUUUACACAAAGUAAUGCUCCUGGUUUGACACCAUAUGCCCCAUUAGUAGCAGGAUCAGUCGCACGUUCUUUGGCUUGCAUUGCUUGUUCCCCAAUUGAGUUGGCAAGGACACGGAUGCAGGCAUAUAAAGAAUUUCGUCCUGGAGUAAAGCCUCCUGGAAUGUGGAAAACAUUGCUUGGCGUUGUUUCACCACUUGCAAGCUCAACUCAGAAUGCACAAAAUUAUCGUGCUCUUUGGACGGGUGUGGGUGCACAACUUGCUCGGGAUGUUCCUUUCUCUGCUAUAUGCUGGUCAACACUGGAGCCGAUUCGAAGAAAGCUGCUUGGUAUCGUCGGAGAAGAAGGUGAUGCAGCUAGUGUGCUGGGUGCAAACUUUGCAGCUGGCUUUGUAGCAGGUAGUCUUGCUGCUGGUGCUACAUGCCCUCUAGAUGUUGCUAAGACAAGGAGACAAAUAGAGAAGGAUACGCAAAAGGCAAUGAGAAUGACCACAAGGCAAACAUUAGCUGAUAUUUGGAGGUAUGUCUUCCACAUGCUAUGAAAAGGCAUUUCAUUCCAGCCAAAUGAAAAUUAUUUUCUAGUGGUGCUAUAGUGGUAUAUAUUUUCAAACUUGAUCUACUUACAAGUCAAUGUAUUGAGCCUAUACGUAAAACUACAUUUUAGCAGACAUUUCUGCCUGGGUCACCUUGUUUGAAGAGAAUGCAGGUUAUCUGAACUGGUCAAAGAGUUAGCAACAUGCCUAGCGAGAGCAAUCAAUGGCUUUCUUCUUAGAAAUGGCUGUUGAUAGAGAAUAACAAUUGGACGAUUAAUGAGAUCCUGAUUUUAUUUUUUUGAAACGAAGAGAUCACUGAAACUUUGACUGUUGCAUCCAUAGGAAAACUAACAUAGAACUACACUGGAAAACGAAAGGCUUUUUUUUUUUGGUACAACAAAUACAUUACUGAAAAUAAAAGCAGAAGAGCUAAUCCUCACACUGAAUACAUUGCUGUGACUCUGUGAGAUGGCAAUGGGUGCUUGAACCAGCUGUGGCCCACCCAAAUUAUGUUUGUUUUAGCUGGUUUGGCUAAUGCCCUAAUUUGUUCUAGAAAGCAUGUUUUGCUUGUUGCAAAAGAAAGGUGGGUUUGAUCAAGUUUAGUGGUUGCUCUCCAUUUUAGUUUUAUCUUCUAAAAUGUAGGUGUAAUUUCUUGUAUUACAUUUUCAUUAUUUACCCCUGAGAGGUCUUGGCUUGGGGAGUCGAUUUCAGUUGGACUGAUUUAAUUUUAACCUGGCAG